This 261-nucleotide long non-coding RNA is filed under the name Monodelphis domestica (gray short-tailed opossum). Its description in RNAcentral is "lncRNA (ENSMODG00000048073.1)". Lineage: Eukaryota; Metazoa; Chordata; Mammalia; Didelphimorphia; Didelphidae. The record is from RNAcentral.
GGAGAUAUGACUGGCUAUAUUCCCAAGCAGAAAACCAAGACAUAGAAAGGAAAUCUCAUUUAAAAGCCCAACAGUAGGCUUUCCAUUCCACAUCUGUGAGGGACACAGUGAGUGCACAGGGCAACCAGCCUUUGGGUAAUGAUGAUCAGGGGAUUAUAGGAUGAUACCCUAGGCAGUAUGAAGGAGUGUGAUCUUCAAGGAUAUAGGGAGGUUUCUGUUCAUUAAGAACCCACUGAGGCUGAGCAUGUCACAUAGUCUGAC